Molecule: unclassified non-coding RNA, 421 nt
Filed under: soil metagenome
Description: partial contains 5.8S ribosomal RNA, internal transcribed spacer 2, and large subunit ribosomal RNA
Rfam family: 5.8S ribosomal RNA (bases 1-120)
Source: RNAcentral
GAUGAAGAACGUAGCGAAAUGCGAUACGUAAUGUGAAUUGCAGAAUUCAGUGAAUCAUCGAAUCUUUGAACGCAUAUUGCGCUCUUUGGUAUUCCGAAGAGCAUGCUUGUUUGAGUAUCAGUAAACACCUCAACCUCUUCUUGAUUUUUCAAAAGGAGGGUGGACUUGAGCUAUCCCAACAACCUUUACCGGUCGGCGGGCGGCUUGAAAUGCAGGUGCAGCUGGACUUUUAUCUGAGCUAAAAGCAUAUCUAUUUAGUCCUCGUCAAACAGGAUUAUUACUUUUGCUGCAGCUAACAUAAAGGAUAAUUGUCCUCUUUGCUGACUGAUGUAGGAUUUUACGACACUUUAUGUGUUGUUCAACUCGAUCUCAAAUCAAGUAAGACUACCCGCUGAACUUAAGCAUAUCAAUAAGCGGAGGA